RNAcentral lists this long non-coding RNA (350 nucleotides) under Ananas comosus (pineapple). Its description in RNAcentral is "long non-coding RNA (ACOM_LNC004170)". The record is from RNAcentral. Lineage: Eukaryota; Viridiplantae; Streptophyta; Magnoliopsida; Poales; Bromeliaceae.
GCCGAACUCUCUCUCUCUCUAUAUAUAGAGCUACACUACUGUACUAUCGGUAGUAUGGAGGCAUCCGUAGUACCAAGUUAUUUUUAAUGAUACGACUUUUAAAUCGAUCGACGAUCGGCUCUGUUAGACUUGAUCAACACUAUUAAAAAUAUACCAACCAUCCCUAGAGCAAGUGGCAAAGAAUUUGGUGGUUGGUACCCAAGAUUCCAAAUUCUUCGAAUCCUAGUUGAUUUAUAUUUCUAGCUAAAUUUAUUUCUAAAUGAAAUAAACAAAGCGGGUAUCGUGCUAUCUAUCUCUUAAAAAAAAAAACACUAUUAAAAAUAUAUAUUUUAUAAUUUUUGGUUGCUGUU